Molecule: ribosomal RNA, 379 nt
Filed under: uncultured eukaryote
Lineage: Eukaryota
Description: partial 18S ribosomal RNA
Rfam family: Eukaryotic small subunit ribosomal RNA
Source: RNAcentral
CAAUAGCGUAUAUUUAAGUUGUUGCAGUUAAAAAGCUCGUAGUUGGAUUUCGGAUGGGAUUUGCCGGUCCGUCGUUACGAUGUGCACUGGCCAGUCCUAUCUUGUUGUCGGGGACUAGCUCCUUGGAUUCACUUCCUGGGACUAGGAGCUGACGAGGUUACUUUGAGUAAAUUAGAGUGUUCAAAGCAAGCCUACGCUCUGAAUACAUUAGCAUGGAAUAACACGAUAGGACUCUGGCUUAUCUUGUUGGUCUGUGAGACCAGAGUAAUGAUUAAGAGGGACAGUCGGGGACAUUCGUAUUUCAUUGUCAGAGGUGAGAUUCUUGGAUUUAUGAAAGACGAACUUCUGCGAAAGCAUUUGUCAAGGAUGUUUNCAUUAA